GAUGAACGCUGACAGAAUGCUUAACACAUGCAAGUCUAAGGCGAAGCUCUGCCUGCACAGCCUAGCCAAGGCGGACGGGUGAGUAACGCGUAAGGAACUUGCCCUGCAGUCAGGGAUAACAGACGGAAACGACUGAUAAGACCUGGUAAAGUCAGGCGCACUCAUGUCCAGCCUGAUGAAAAGAGAUGCUGCAGGAGAGCCUUGCGUCCUAUUAGCAUGUUGGUGGGGUAGCGGCGCACCACGGCGAUGAUAGGUAGUCGGCGUGAGAGGGUGGACGGCCACAAGGGGACGGAGAUACGGCCGUUACUCCUACGGGAGGCAGCAGUGGGGAAUAGUGGACAAUGGGGGCAACACUGAUCCAGAAAUUCUGUGUGGACGAUGAAGGUUUUCGGAGUGUAAAGUGUUUUCAGCAGGGAAGAAGAAAAUGACGGUACCUGCAGAAGAAGCGACGGCUAAAUACGUG
Molecule: ribosomal RNA, 463 nt
Filed under: uncultured bacterium
Lineage: Bacteria
Description: partial 16S ribosomal RNA
Rfam family: Bacterial small subunit ribosomal RNA
Source: RNAcentral